GGAAAAUGAUGUUCACAUGAUUUGCCAAACAUUGUUUUAUUCUCUUCUUUUGAGAAUACAUAAAACAUCAGAUGGAAGAUCUGGUCUAGCUUUAGGUUACAGGAGAAGAAAUUAAGAUUGGUAUAUUUCACAUCAUAUAUCAACAGGACUUUCCAUUGUAGAUACAGCCUGAUAUGUAUCUGCUGCAAGGGAUGAGAGAGAGAGAGAGAGUAAUUAACCAAGAAAGUUAACUAACAUGGACAAAGGAAUUAAACAAAGGCCUUUCUUCUUCAAGUCUCUGCAGUCUUUAUUCCCAGUACUGCAACUCAUUUCACAUCUUUCAUCAUCUGUCUCCACUACUCCUCCAUAAUGCUCUAAAGCACCUCCUUUACCCUGCCAAAAAAAAAAAAAUCAUCACAAGAAUCCAUUAAUCAAGCUUCUUUUUAGAUUUUCCAACCAAUAUUUGGGUUAUUUUAUGGCUGAAUUGAUACACCUGCAAAUAAUUGCAGGCCUAACUAGGUCAGGCAUUCUUUCGAGAGAGAAAAACAACAGCAUAUAGAACAAUUAAUAUCUAUAUAUCCCAGAAAAAGAAAAGGAAAAAGAAAUAUCAAAAGAGAAUAAUGUUUACCAGGGAGCUAUUGAAAUGGUCAUUUGUCUUUCUGGGAUUCACAUCAUUUGGUAGGAAAUCACUAACCUGAUGAUAUAAAUAAGGCGAAAAAAAAGGACAUCAUCUGUCUUGGAAUUUGAUAGAAUAUAAGAGGGGAAAUUAAAGGGAAAGUAAUUUAAUUAUCAAACCUUGGGACUGUUAACAGGAGAACUAGCAGUGUCCUCCAGAGACUCAUCAUGAUGAGACCUUCUUCUGGUUUUUGCUUUCUUGAAAGUUAACUUGUUGGGGGUACUCGGGGAGCAGGAGGCAAGAACAUGGUUGUAAUUAUGAUGAGAUGAUGAUGAUUUCCAUGCAGGGAAAGAAGCAGCAUCAGAAACCAUAGAAGAGCUACCAAAACCAGAACAGUAACUAUCCUCCUUUCUUUGGUUAGAGAAAUCUUCAAAAUAAGCUGUCCAACCACUACUCUCCUGAUCAUCAGCUGUUGUUCUUUCAUCAGAAUUUGCCACAACUUCUCUAUUCCUUGAUGAAUUGUUCAUAGAGCCCUCCAUCAAAUUCUACAAGGAGAACAAAUAUCUAAGAGAACAAAUAUCUAAGAAAUAUCUGCAGUUAUGUAUGUAUGUAUAUAUAGAUGUUUCACCAGAAGCUAGAGGCCUUUCUGAAGAAGGGGUUUAUAGCAGAAAGAGAGAGAGAGAGAU
This 1281-nucleotide unclassified non-coding RNA is filed under the name Hevea brasiliensis (rubber tree). Lineage: Eukaryota; Viridiplantae; Streptophyta; Magnoliopsida; Malpighiales; Euphorbiaceae. The record is from RNAcentral.